CUGGCGGUCCGGAAGGCCCUCGGGCCCCCGGACCCUCGGGUCCCCCGCUCGCGGGGGGCUGCCCGCCGGAGUGCCGAAACCAAACUCUUGAUAUUUUAUGUCUCUCUGAGUAAACUUUUAAAUAAGUCAAAACUUUCAACAACGGAUCUCUUGGUUCUGGCAUC
RNAcentral lists this ribosomal RNA (164 nucleotides) under uncultured fungus. Its description in RNAcentral is "partial contains internal transcribed spacer 1 and 5.8S ribosomal RNA". The record is from RNAcentral. Lineage: Eukaryota; Fungi.